UGGCUCAGUGGAUAGAGCGUUGGCCUGCAGAAUGAAGGGUCCUGGGUUCAAUUCCCAG
RNAcentral lists this transfer RNA (58 nucleotides) under Myotis myotis. The record is from Rfam by way of RNAcentral. RNAcentral also lists the same sequence under 1 other name. Lineage: Eukaryota; Metazoa; Chordata; Mammalia; Chiroptera; Vespertilionidae.